UACGGAGGGUGCGAGCGUUGUCCGGAAUCACUGGGCGUAAAGGGCGCGUAGGCGGCUUCUUAAGCGUGUGGUGAAAGCUCGGGGCUCAACCCCGAGUCGGCCGUGCGAACUGGGAGGCUUGAGCACUGUAGAGGCAGGUGGAAUUCCGGGUGUAGCGGUGGAAUGCGUAGAGAUCCGGAAGAACACCGGUGGCGAAGGCGGCCUGCUGGGCAGUGGCUGACGCUGAGGCGCGACAGCGUGGGGAG
RNAcentral lists this ribosomal RNA (245 nucleotides) under uncultured Gemmatimonas sp. Its description in RNAcentral is "partial 16S ribosomal RNA". It matches the Rfam family "Bacterial small subunit ribosomal RNA", at positions 524 to 768 of the family's 1533-position model. Lineage: Bacteria; Pseudomonadati; Gemmatimonadota; Gemmatimonadia; Gemmatimonadales; Gemmatimonadaceae. The record is from RNAcentral.